This 394-nucleotide ribosomal RNA is filed under the name uncultured eukaryote. Its description in RNAcentral is "partial 18S ribosomal RNA". It matches the Rfam family "Eukaryotic small subunit ribosomal RNA", at positions 592 to 975 of the family's 1831-position model. The record is from RNAcentral.
CAAUAGCGUAUAUUAAAGUUGUUGCAGUUAAAAAGCUCGUAGUUGGAUUUCUGAAUUGAAUAUCCGGUCCGCUCGUCUCUGAUGAGUGCGUACUUCUGGAUAUUGGAUUCAUUUUUUGUGAGGACAUUUAUCUGUCAUUAAGUUGAUGGAUUUAUAGACUUGCAUCGUUUACUGUGAAAAAAUUAGAGUGUUUAAAGCAGGCGUUCGCCCAUUUGAAUACAUUAGCAUGGAAUAAUAAGAUAUGACUUUGGUGGUCUAUUUUGUUGGUUUGCACACCAGAGUAAUGAUUAAUAGGGACAGUUGGGGGUAUUCAUAUUUCAACGUCAGAGGUGAAAUUCUUAGAUCGUUGAAAGAUGACCUUAGGCGAAAGCAUUUACCAUGGAUGUUUUCAUUA